AGCAGGUUGGCAGACUAGUGCCCUUGAUUUAGGAUCAAGAUAUGAAUCAUAUUCACCUACUA
RNAcentral lists this transfer RNA (62 nucleotides) under Timarete posteria. Its description in RNAcentral is "tRNA-Leu". Lineage: Eukaryota; Metazoa; Annelida; Polychaeta; Terebellida; Cirratulidae. The record is from RNAcentral.